UCUGUUGUGUUGAGACUCAGAAAUGACUUGUGGACUUAGUUUGGGAAUCUUGGAGGUUGUGUUUGUUCAAGCAGAGCUUGUAUGUUGUUUGUGGACUAAAGGAGCUCAGAAUAUCCAGAACAGCAACACACAUGUUGGCUUCCCACCACCAGAUGGCAGAUGGCUGAAAUCUGUCAGCUAUCCCCAGAAUCAAGUCACAAGGCUUUGUUUCUCUAUACUCAGUCCAGAGCAGUAGCUGGAGUAUCCAGAGGAAAUCUGCACAUGGAGAACAUGCAAACCCCAGAGAAGACCCUGGGCCGGGAUUCAGUCUGGGAGGCAA
This is a long non-coding RNA of Austrofundulus limnaeus, 319 nucleotides long. RefSeq lists it as uncharacterized. The record is from RefSeq and is a predicted model, not a curated record. The transcript has 4 exons. Lineage: Eukaryota; Metazoa; Chordata; Actinopteri; Cyprinodontiformes; Rivulidae.